GGGGAAUAUUGCGCAAUGGGGGGAACCCUGACGCAGCCAUGCCGCGUGAAUGAAGAAGGCCUUCGGGUUGUAAAGUUCUUUCGGUAUUGAGGAAGGUUGAUGUGUUAAUAGCACAUCAAAUUGACGUUAAAUACAGAAGAAGCACCGGCUAACUCCGUGCCAGCAGCCGCGGUAAUACGGAGGGUGCGAGCGUUAAUCGGAAUAACUGGGCGUAAAGGGCACGCAGGCGGUUAUUUAAGUGAGGUGUGAAAGCCCCGGGCUUAACCUGGGAAUCGCAUUUCAGACUGGGUAACUAGAGUACUUUAGGGAGGGGUAGAAUUCCACGUGUAGCGGUGAAAUGCGUAGAGAUGUGGAGGAAUACCGAAGGCGAAGGCAGCCCCUUGGGAAUGUACUGACGCUCAUGUGCGAAAGCGUGGGGAGCAAACAGGAUUAGAUACCCUGGUAGUCCACGCUGUAAACGCUGUCGAUUUGGGGGUUGGGGUUUAACUCUGGCGCCCGUAGCUAACGUGAUAAAUCGACCGCCUGGGGAGUACGGCCGCAAGGUUA
RNAcentral lists this ribosomal RNA (546 nucleotides) under uncultured bacterium. RNAcentral's name for it is "bacterial SSU rRNA". It matches the Rfam family "Bacterial small subunit ribosomal RNA", at positions 356 to 896 of the family's 1533-position model. The record is from RNAcentral.